RNAcentral lists this ribosomal RNA (433 nucleotides) under uncultured bacterium. Its description in RNAcentral is "partial 16S ribosomal RNA". It matches the Rfam family "Bacterial small subunit ribosomal RNA", at positions 29 to 507 of the family's 1533-position model. The record is from RNAcentral.
AACGAACGCUGGCGGCAUGCCUAACACAUGCAAGUCGAACGAGACCUUCGGGUCUAGUGGCGCACGGGUGCGUAACGCGUGGGAACCUUCCCUUAGGGUCGGAAUAACUCCCCGAAAGGGGUGCUAAUACCGGAUAAUGUCUUCGGACCAAAGAUUUAUCGCCUUUGGAUGGGCCCGCGUUGGAUUAGCUAGUUGGUAGGGUAAAAGCCUACCAAGGCGACGAUCCAUAGCUGGUCUGAGAGGAUGAUCAGCCACACUGGGACUGAGACACGGCCCAGACUCCUACGGGAAGCAGCAGUGGGGAAUAUUGGACAAUGGGCGAAAGCCUGAUCCAGCAAUGCCGCGUGAGUGAUGAAGGCCUUAGGGUUGUAAAGCUCUUUUACCCGGGAUGAUAAUGACAGUACCGGGAGAAUAAGCUCCGGCUAACUCCGUG